UCAACUUGAGAGUUUGAUCCUGGCUCAGAACGAACGCUGGCGGCAGGCUUAACACAUGCAAGUCGAACGCCCCGCAAGGGGAGUGGCAGACGGGUGAGUAACGCGUGGGAAUCUACCCAUCUCUGCGGAAUAGCUCUGGGAAACUGGAAUUAAUACCGCAUACGCCCUACGGGGGAAAGAUUUAUCGGGGAUGGAUGAGCCCGCGUUGGAUUAGCUAGUUGGUGGGGUAAAGGCCUACCAAGGCGACGAUCCAUAGCUGGUCUGAGAGGAUGAUCAGCCACAUUGGGACUGAGACACGGCCCAAACUCCUACGGGAGGCAGCAGUGGGGAAUAUUGGACAAUGGGCGCAAGCCUGAUCCAGCCAUGCCGCGUGAGUGAUGAAGGCCUUAGGGUUGUAAAGCUCUUUCACCGGUGAAGAUAAUGACGGUAACCGGAGAAGAAGCCCCGGCUAACUUCGUGCCAGCAGCCGCGGUAAUACGAAGGGGGCUAGCGUUGUUCGGAAUUACUGGGCGUAAAGCGCACGUAGGCGGAUAUUUAAG
This 539-nucleotide ribosomal RNA is filed under the name Klebsiella pneumoniae. RNAcentral's name for it is "bacterial SSU rRNA". It matches the Rfam family "Bacterial small subunit ribosomal RNA", at positions 1 to 587 of the family's 1533-position model. Lineage: Bacteria; Pseudomonadati; Pseudomonadota; Gammaproteobacteria; Enterobacterales; Enterobacteriaceae. The record is from RNAcentral.